This 222-nucleotide unclassified non-coding RNA is filed under the name plant metagenome. Its description in RNAcentral is "partial contains small subunit ribosomal RNA, internal transcribed spacer 1, and 5.8S ribosomal RNA". The record is from RNAcentral.
UCUCCGUUGGUGAACCAGCGGAGGGAUCAUUACCGAGUUAUCAACUCCAAACCCCUGUGAACAUACCCAACGUUGCUUCGGCGGGACCGCCCCGGCGCCCUCGGCGUCCCGGAACCAGGCGCCCGCCGGAGGACCCAAACUCUUGUUUAAACCAUAGUGGCAUAUUCUGAGUCUCACAAGAAAAAUGAAUCAAAACUUUCAACAACGGAUCUCUUGGCUCUG